AAUAUCGUGUUGCACACUAUUAAUUGCUCAUUAAAAAGUAAUAUUUUUUUUAUUUUUGCGAACAAAAAAUAAUAAUUUUAUUCAUCAUUUUUGUAAAACUUACUUAAAUUUGCGCUUGCUCUGCUGGAACGCGUUUGCGCAAUGUGCAACAUAUACAUAUUUUCUGUUGUUGUUGGUGGUUCAAAAAGUAUUUUCUGUAAGUUCAUGGUGUUUGUUCUAUUGUGAAUUGUGAUUAUCGGUACUGCGAUAAAUUCAGAAUAGUGUAGUAAAUACCGUUUUGUCAAGAAAACAGUACUAAUUCUACAUAACCUCACUUCUACAAGCAAUGCAGAAAAUGCAAUUUCUCAACACAAACAAAAUGAUGAAUGUCCGGGCGCAACCAAAAAAAAGAAGAAAUCCAGUUAGAAAUUGCGGGAGAUACGCAGAAAUUGAAUGAAUUGGAAGAGAAGAUGUAAAAAAACAUUUUUCAGGGCAAGGAAAAAAUAAGCUCUCUUUUAGUGAACUCACAAUUAACAAGGCUACAAUAUGUAAAGUACCACACGGAAACGUCACAAAAACGCCACAACUGCUGAAAUUUAAAAAAUGGUAGGACCUCAUUAAGCGCAGACAAAAGCAAGAGUGAAUUCUCAUCGAAAAAAACAUGAG
Long non-coding RNA from Zophobas morio, 645 nucleotides. RefSeq lists it as uncharacterized. Lineage: Eukaryota; Metazoa; Arthropoda; Insecta; Coleoptera; Tenebrionidae. The record is from RefSeq and is a predicted model, not a curated record. The transcript is spliced from 5 exons.